UAGUAUCGUUUUAAUCGAUGGGGGGACGCAGUAGGAUAGGCGAAGCGUGCUGUUGGAGUGCACGUCCAAGCAGUAAGGCUGAGUGUUAGGCAAAUCCGGCACUCAUAAGGCUGAGCUGUGAUGGGGAGAGGAAAUUGUUUCCUCGAGUCGUUGAUUUCACACUGCCGAGAAAAGCCUCUAGAUAGAUAACAGGUGCCCGUACCGCAAACCGACACAGGUAGUCAAGAUGAGAAUUCUAAGGUGAGCGAGCGAACUCUCGUUAAGGAACUCGGCAAAAUGACCCCGUAACUUCGGGAGAAGGGGUGCUCUUUAGGGUUCACGCCCAGAAGAGCCGCAGUGAAUAGGCCCAAGCGACUGUUUAUCAAAAACACAGGUCUCUGCUAAACCGUAAGGUGAUGUAUAGGGGCUGACGCCUGCCCGGUGCUGGAAGGUUAAGAGGAGUGGUUAGCUUCUGCGAAGCUACGAAUCGAAGCCCCAGUAAACGGCGGCCGUAACUAUAACGGUCCUAAGGUAGCGAAAUUCCUUGUCGGGUAAGUUCCGACCCGCACGAAAGGCGUAACGAUUUGGGCACUGUCUCAACGAGAGACUCGGUGAAAUCAUAGUACCUGUGAAGAUGCAGGUUACCCGCGACAGGACGGAAAGACCCCGUGGAGCUUUACUGUAGCCUGAUAUUGAAAUUCGGCACAGCUUGUACAGGAUAGGUAGGAGCCUUUGAAACGUGAGCGCUAGCUUACGUGGAGGCGUUGGUGGGAUACUACCCUAGCUGUGUUGGCUUUCUAACCCGCACCACUUAUCGUGGUGGGAGACAGUGUCAGGCGGGCAGUUUGACUGGGGCGGUCGCCUCCUAAAAGGUAACGGAGGCGCUCAAAGG
Molecule: ribosomal RNA, 871 nt
Filed under: Staphylococcus sp. HMSC073C02
Lineage: Bacteria; Bacillati; Bacillota; Bacilli; Caryophanales; Staphylococcaceae
Description: bacterial LSU rRNA
Rfam family: Bacterial large subunit ribosomal RNA
Source: RNAcentral